RNAcentral lists this RNase P RNA (426 nucleotides) under Candidatus Segatella violae. Its description in RNAcentral is "RNase P RNA component class A". It matches the Rfam family "Bacterial RNase P class A". Rfam says of the family: Ribonuclease P (RNase P) is a ubiquitous endoribonuclease, found in archaea, bacteria and eukarya as well as chloroplasts and mitochondria. Its best characterised activity is the generation of mature 5'-ends of tRNAs by cleaving the 5'-leader elements of precursor-tRNAs. The record is from RNAcentral. Lineage: Bacteria; Pseudomonadati; Bacteroidota; Bacteroidia; Bacteroidales; Prevotellaceae.
GCAGCGCCCCGGUCUGUCGCUGGCAUCCGUCAAAGGGUGCGAGAGGAAAGUCCGGGCAGCGUAGGGCAUCCCACUUCCGAAACUAGAAGCUAUUGGUGACAGUAGGUGUCGGCAGAAGAAAACAACCGCCCAAAUUUAUCCCGUAUGCAUGGGGGAUAGUGUCGGGUAAGGGUGAGAAGGUGGUGUAAGAGACCACCAGCUGGCGGGUGAUCGCCAGGCUGUGCCAUCUGGGAGCUGUAAGCUCAUGUAUACCGCAGUUUGAGGGCGGCUCGUCCGAAGCCUUCGGGCUACUGUGGAGGGUAGAGUGCUUGAGCCCAGGGGCGACUCUGGGACUAGAUAAAUGACAGGCUAUCGUGCAUUUUAAUCAGUUGGGCAUGCGUGCAUGUUCGUACGAUACAGAACUCGGCUUAUAGGGGCACUGCUUUC